Molecule: transfer RNA, 77 nt
Filed under: Acidobacteriota bacterium
Lineage: Bacteria; Pseudomonadati; Acidobacteriota
Description: Acidobacteria bacterium (wastewater metagenome) tRNA-Pro
Rfam family: tRNA
About the family: Transfer RNA (tRNA) molecules are approximately 80 nucleotides in length. Their secondary structure includes four short double-helical elements and three loops (D, anti-codon, and T loops). Further hydrogen bonds mediate the characteristic L-shaped molecular structure. tRNAs have two regions of fundamental functional importance: the anti-codon, which is responsible for specific mRNA codon recognition, and the 3' end, to which the tRNAs corresponding amino acid is attached (by aminoacyl-tRNA synthetases). tRNAs cope with the degeneracy of the genetic code in two manners: having more than one tRNA (with a specific anti-codon) for a particular amino acid; and 'wobble' base-pairing, i.e. permitting non-standard base-pairing at the 3rd anti-codon position.
Source: RNAcentral
CGGGGCGUAGCGUAGCCUGGUAACGCACUUGCUUUGGGAGCAAGGGAUCGCUGGUUCGAAUCCAGUCGCCCCGACCA